UCACAGAGCCGUUUUACAUAAGCGAUUUUAACUCAAAAAUCCACCUCUAACUGAAUAAAUUACAUUCAAUUGAGUAUAUUUUCUGAUAAACAACAAUAUAAGGAAUCAAAACCCUAAAUUUUUAACACAUUAUUUCUAAUAUAUCAUGAAAACAAAAUCAAAAGGUGGAAAAAAAAAAAAAAACAGCGGAAUUUUGGUUCCGCAGACAUCUCAGUGUUCAUCUCAAAUUUCAUGCUGUAAUUGACCAGAUUACGUCAAAUUGAAAAUUUUAAAUCAUGCUAGACACAAUAAAUAUUAAAAACCCUAAUUAUUGAACUCAUUAUGUUCAAAAUAUGCCGUGAAAUAAAUCAAAUGGCGGAAAAAAAAAAAACCCAAACUUCUUACCUGAUUUUGUGAACCGAAG
RNAcentral lists this long non-coding RNA (403 nucleotides) under Amborella trichopoda. RNAcentral's name for it is "long non-coding RNA (ATRI_LNC004320)". Lineage: Eukaryota; Viridiplantae; Streptophyta; Magnoliopsida; Amborellales; Amborellaceae. The record is from RNAcentral.